CUUCUCGAUUGUCUCGAUUUUUGCUCUAUCCACUUCAAUCCCCUUUGAAGAGAUCCGAAGACCUAAGACAAUUCCCUCUUUUACCAUGAAGUGACACUUUUCCCAAUUAAGUAGAAGGUUAGUUUCUUCACAUCUCUUCAAAACUAACGCCAAAUUCCCAAGACAAUCAUCAAAAGAUGAUCCGAAUACAGAAAAAUCAUCCAUGGAAAUUUCAAUAAUCCGCUCUACCGUAUCUGAAAAGAUUGACAUCAUACACCUUUGGAAGGUAGCUGGCGCAUUGCAAAGUCCAAAUGGCAUUCGACGAAAGGCGAAAGUGCCAUGAGGGCAUGUGAAGGUGGUCUUCUCUUGGUCCUCUGGUGCUAUGGCUAUUUGAUUAUACCCCGAAUAGCCAUCUAGGAAGCAAUAGUACUCAUGCUCGGCUAGCCUGUCUAACAUUUGAUCAAUGAAUGGCAAGGGGAAGUGGUCCUUCCGAGUGGCUUGUUCAAUUUUCAAUAAUCCAUGCAAAUUCUCCAUCCAGUAACUAUUCUUGUAGGGAUCAACUCAUUGUUAGCAUUCUUUACCACUGUCAUUCUUCCUUUUUUUGGUACUACUUGCACAAGACUGAUCCAUGAGCUAUCAGAAAUUGAGUAAGUCACUCCGGCAUCUAACCAUUUUAAGACCUCUUUAUGCACCACUUCCUUUAUUGUCGGAUUGAGUCUUCUUUGAUGUACCACCGCUGGCUUGCAAUCUUCACCCAACAAAAUUCGGUGCAUACAAAUAGAAGGG
Molecule: long non-coding RNA, 765 nt
Filed under: Olea europaea subsp. europaea
Lineage: Eukaryota; Viridiplantae; Streptophyta; Magnoliopsida; Lamiales; Oleaceae
Source: RNAcentral